AACGCGAAGAACCUUACCCAGGCUCGAAAUGUAGAGGGCGAUACCAGAAAUGGUAUUUUCCGUAAGGACUUCUAUAUAGGUGCUGCAUGGCUGUCGUCAGCUCGUGCCGUGAGGUGUUGGGUUAAGUCCCGCAACGAGCGCAACCCUUAUCAUUAGUUGCCAACACGCGAGGUGGGGACUCUAAUGAGACUGCCUAGGUUAACUAGGAGGAAGGUGAGGAUGACGUCAAGUCCGCAUGGCCUUUAUGUCUGGGGCUACACACGUGCUACAAUGGUCGGUACAGAAGGCAGCAAAGCCGUAAGGUGGAGCAAAUCCGUAAAGCCGGCCUCAGUUCAGAUUGUAGUCUGCAACUCGACUACAUGAAGUUGGAAUUGCUAGUAAUGACGUGUCAGCUACAACGUCGUGAAUACGUUCCCGGGCCUUGUACACACCGGCUAC
This 438-nucleotide ribosomal RNA is filed under the name uncultured bacterium. RNAcentral's name for it is "bacterial SSU rRNA". It matches the Rfam family "Bacterial small subunit ribosomal RNA", at positions 958 to 1397 of the family's 1533-position model. The record is from RNAcentral.